GAUGAACGCUAGCGGCAGGCCUAACACAUGCAAGUCGAGGGGCAGCACAGGAACAGCAAUGUUUUGGUGGCGACCGGCGGACGGGUGCGUAACGCGUAUGCAACCUACCUUUAACAGGGGGAUAACGGAGAGAAAUUUCCACUAAUACCCCAUAACAUCGAUCAAGGCAUCUUGAUUGGUUGAAAACUCCGGUGGUUAAAGAUGGGCAUGCGUUGUAUUAGUUAGUUGGUGAGGUAAUGGCUCACCAAGCCUACGAUACAUAGGGGGACUGAGAGGUUAGCCCCCAACACUGGUACUGAGACACGGACCAGACUACUACGGGAGGCAGGAGUGAGGAAUAGUGGUCGAUGGGGGCAACCCUGAACCGGCCAUGCGGCGUGCAGGAAGACGGCUCUAUGAGUUGUAAACUGAGGUGAAGCAGGGAUAAAGCACAGUAUGUAUACUGUGUUGAAGGUACUGUAAGAAUAAGGAUCGGCUAACUCCGUGCCAGCAGCCGCAGUAA
RNAcentral lists this ribosomal RNA (502 nucleotides) under uncultured bacterium. RNAcentral describes it as "partial 16S ribosomal RNA". It matches the Rfam family "Bacterial small subunit ribosomal RNA", at positions 28 to 523 of the family's 1533-position model. The record is from RNAcentral.